GGUUGUAGUGAGCUGAGAUUGUACCACUGCACUCCAGCCUGGGCAACAGUGCCAGACCCUGUCUCAAAGGUGGGGGAGAUUUUGACAUGGAGACACAGAUAUGCAUACACGGAUGUGUUGAUGAAGGCAGAGAUUGGGGUGAUGCGGCAGAAGCCAAGGAGCACUGGAUUGCCAGCAAACCAGCAGGAGGUGGGAGAGAGGCAUGGAACAGAUUCUUCCUCACAAGCUUCAGAGGGAACCAACCCUACAGACACCUUGGUCUUGGACUUCUAGCCUCCAGAACUAAUGAAGAGGUGAAGCUCAGAGAAGCCUAAUGCCACGUGGCUGAAACUUUGGAAGAAUCAAACUCAGGCUUGUGACAGCUAAAACACACUUACCACGUCUUUUAAAUGUAAAAACAGAGAGUGAGAAGGAAGAGGAGGGAGGAAAGGACGGAGAACAUUUCUUCACAAUCACCGUGAUGGAGGAAUCACACAUCAUCAGGAAGCUCGAGAAUGAUGAGUAAAAUCUGAGACUUCUGGACAAUACAGGACACACACAAAUAAUGGAAAAGACACUCAAAUAAGGUGGAAACUAAGUAAACAAUUGAAACGUGGAGUCAGAUGCCACUGACAGCCUAAGAAAGCCAAGUAGCCCAGCUUCCCCAUGGGGUUGUCCUCGGCUUUGGUGAGGGGAAGAAGCAGGGUCUGUCCUGGACACUUGUUCCUGGGCUCAGGGCCCAAGUGUUUGAUGCACAGCUUCCCACUCUUUCAAUGGAGGUGCACCUAUUGUCUCCUCAGCCAAAGACUCAGGAUCAUGAAUAACUCAUAGUAAACUCACUGGGGGGUUGUAGGCAUGGAUUUUUUGUAAACACCAUAAAAGGUCCUUGAUCCAAAAGGCUCUGCACUCAGUGCAUUACAUGUACUUUCUAUUCUCCCCAGGCCCUACCCCACCCCUACAUCAGCCCAUUAUAAUUCUUAAAGAUUUUGUGCUCAAGCCAGGGGCCCGAGUGGGGGCAUUUACCCUCCAUAUAGUGCAAACAUACACAAAGAACAAUUGACCACCAUAUAACAUAACACUUUGUAGGGUUUUCAAGCUUACAAAUAUCAGACUAAUUUUUUUUUUUUUUUUUCUUUUUGAGAUGGAGUCUCGC
RNAcentral lists this long non-coding RNA (1132 nucleotides) under Homo sapiens (human). RNAcentral's name for it is "HSALNT0297989". The record is from RNAcentral. Lineage: Eukaryota; Metazoa; Chordata; Mammalia; Primates; Hominidae.